RNA transcript from Labrus mixtus (cuckoo wrasse), 1765 nucleotides. It is a transcript of the gene named ectonucleotide pyrophosphatase/phosphodiesterase family member 7-like, with no coding region annotated. NCBI's taxonomy places the organism in Eukaryota, Metazoa, Chordata, Actinopteri, Labriformes, Labridae. The transcript is spliced from 6 exons. The record is from RefSeq and is a predicted model, not a curated record.
CAGUGUCAUCAUUUUCUGACUGAGGAGAAGAGGGACACUAAGGUUUUCUUUCGGGAGUUCGAGGGUUGUUGUUAUUGUCCAUUAAUGCUUGCAUGUAAAAGAAAGCAGAGAUAGAUUAAAAAGUCGUAGCAAUCUGUUGCAUUCCGGGAUCAUUUCAACAAGGACUAAACUCUUGGUCAUGCUGCUGCUCUGCCUCGCCGUCCUUGGCCUCACUGCCAGCUCUCCCUGUGCUGCCGCCCCACAGCGAGACUCUGCAAUCACUGCGUCCGCCAGAAACAAGCUGCUGCUCAUCUCCUUCGACGGUUUCCGCUGGGACUAUGACCGAUAUGUUGAAACCCCUAAUCUGGAUAAAAUGGCCCAGGAUGGGGUGAAGGCAAAAUAUCUCACACCACCCUUCCUCACCAUAACCAGCCCUUCUCACUUCACAAUGCUGACAGGACGUCAUGUUGAGAAUCACGGAGUAAUCCACAACAUUUGGUUCAACACAACCACCCAGGAGAAGAAGCAGUAUUACCAGACUCAGUUUGUUGACUCCUACUGGGACAAUGGGACCUUACCAAUCUGGAUAACAGCACAGAGACAGGGUCUGAAGGUAGGUUCUCUGCAUUUUCCUGCCACUGCAGCUAAAUACAGAGGAGAGAUAGUGAAGUAUCGGCUAGUGGAGCCUCCUUUCUACGAUUAUUCUAACGAGACAGAUUGGCAACUGAACAUCGACAAGGUGGUUGAAGAAUGGUUCCGCCAACAGGACCUGGACUUUGUCUCUUUGUACUUUGGCGAACCAGAUUUGGCAGGGCACAAAUUUGGACCCGACUCUCCAGAAUGCAGAGAAAUGGUCCGGCAAGUGGACCGAACAGUGGGCUACAUACGGGACAAGAUCCAACAGCAUGGCCUCACAGACAAGCUCAACAUCAUCAUCACCGCAGACCACGGGAUGACUAAGAUCUUCCAUGGAGGAGAAGUUAAGAAGAUCAUCCUCUCUAAGUUCCCUGGCUUCAGCUUCAAAGAGAUCCAGUUCCAGCUGUUGGAUUAUGGUCCUGUUGGGAUGCUGCUUCCUAAAGAGGGGAAGCUGGAGACGGUCUACCAGGCUCUGAAAGGAGGGCACCCUAACCUUCAUGUGUAUAAGAAAGAGGAGAUGCCUUCUAGACUGCACUACAGUAACCAUCCUCGACUCCUGCCCAUUAUCCUCAUUGCUGACCCUGGAUACGUUGUGAAUGGGAUUUUACCGUUGAACUUCAACAAAGGAGAGCACGGUUUUGAUAACGAAGUCAGUGACAUGCAGUCAAUCUUCAGAGCAGUGGGACCGGACUUUGAAAUAAACAAGAUAGUAGAACCCCUUAACAUGGUGGAUGUGUACCCACUUAUGUGUCAUCUACUGGGGAUAAAGCCAGAGAUACAUGACGGACAGUUGAAAAAAACUGAACACAUGCUGUUUCCUGGGAAAGACAUAGGAGACAAUGACAAUAAGAAUUAUGGAAAGGAGGCGAUGAUUGGCUUGUCAGCAGUGGUUGGGUUUCUUGUGCUUGUUUUCAUCAUCACCAUAUCCUACAACAUGUGCAAAAAGACCCGCAAACAAAGGACCAGUGUGACAAAUAUGAGCAAAUUCUGAAGAAGAAAAAACCUGCAGGAAUGGACAAAAUGAAAGUGGGAAGUGUACUUUUGGGGGAGAAACAACAUAAAGAGUUAAAAUAUCUAAUAUCUCAGAGUUUAAUGUCACCUCGAAGUGGUAAUAGCGUGAUUAUUGUGAAAUAAAAAGGCUUAUGGAGGA